GAGCUCUCAAUCUGUCAAUCCUUCCAGUGUCCGGGCCUGGUGAGAUUUCCCGUGUUGAGUCAAAUUAAGCCGCAGGCUCCACUCCUGGUGGUGCCCUUCCGUCAAUUCCUUUAAGUUUCAGCUUUGCAACCAUACUUCCCCCGGAACCCACAAGCUUUGGUUUCCCGGAAGCUUCCCGCAGAGCCUACAAUAAAAACGUCUGCGGAUCGCUAGCUGGCAUCGUUUAUGGUUAGAACUAGGGCGGUAUCUGAUCGCCUUCGAACCUCUAACUUUCGUUCUUGAUUAAUGAAAACAUUCUUGGCAAAUGCUUUCGCAGUAGUUAGUCUUCAAACGGUCCAAGAAUUUCACCUCUGUCGCUUGAAUACUAAUGCCCCCGACUGUCCCUAUUAAUCAUUACGUCGAUUUCCGAAAACCAACAAAAUAGAAACGACGUCCUAUUCUAUUAUUCCAUGCACGAAUAUUCAAGCGUGUGAAGCCUGCUUUGAGCACUCUAAUUUUUUCAAAGUAAACCUGACGGCAUCCAGGACACUCGAUUAAGAGCACCCUGGAACCUCCGUCAAAAACACGGGUAAAUGGGGCAGUAGCGUCAAAUAACGAACCGCCCCCUACCCGCCGUGAUCCAACUACGAGCUUUUUAACCGCAACAACUUUAAUAUACGCUAUUGGAGCUGGAAU
Molecule: ribosomal RNA, 675 nt
Filed under: uncultured metazoan
Lineage: Eukaryota; Metazoa
Description: partial 18S ribosomal RNA
Source: RNAcentral